This is a long non-coding RNA of Tyto alba (common barn owl), 442 nucleotides long. RefSeq lists it as uncharacterized. Lineage: Eukaryota; Metazoa; Chordata; Aves; Strigiformes; Tytonidae. The record is from RefSeq and is a predicted model, not a curated record. The transcript has 3 exons.
GCACCGGAUAAGCUUCCUGACACGGGAGAACUGGCGUGCCUGCCUUUGGUAAGGGUCCCUGCCUCAGGGAAAUGGGUUUUGGACUCUGCUACUGAACGGAGGAGCCUUCCCACGGUGUGAAAUUAAAGGAAUGACCCUGCGAUGGAAGAGGGGACUGAAGGAAGAAGACGAGGCUCCAUGCUCGACAGGGAGUGGCAAAUCCUUUAGAAAGAGAAUUUGCUGUGUCAGGUGUACAACCCAGGGAACGUUUGCUGUUGUCCUGGAAGCUGGAGAGGCAGAUGCCAAAUGUCAUCCUGGUAUUAAUGAUCUCUGAGAGCUAUGGGCUGCGGCACACUGAAAGCUAAUGGGUGAAACCGCUGGCUAAUCAAGCCUGUAUGGCUAUGACAAGAACCAACAGGUCAUUCAGGACCUUCUUCACAAAAUUUUACAUGCAUUAACUGUU